UUUUUUUUUUUUUUUUUAAAGAAAGUCAACUCUCCCAGCCUAGCUAUUGAUGAUAAAUCAGAGGACACUGCAAACCUUGCAAACACAUUAGCAAAGUCCUGUUCUCAAUUAAGUGCUAUAUAAUGACAGGUAAUAAGCUACUCAUUCCAUCAAAGUUACUGAAUCACAAUAUCUUUCUUUAAAAAAACCCAACUGCUCACAACCAGGAGAAAAGCUCAAGGAAACAGAUGAAUAAUCUAGAGGAGGUAUCAAAAUAGUCACAGCUGUGUUCUGUUGUACUGGCACACUCAGUAAAACAUCGGGUGGGAAGGGAGUAGGGUAAGACAAGUCAAAAGGAGUGGGGUAGAGUAACAAUAAUGUUCUGAAGUGCUGGUGAACCCUAUGAAUGAGAAGCUAGAAGGAGAUAUAGAAUUAUCAGCUCUGUAUAGGUUCUAUUAAAGCAAAUCUGAAGGCAGUAAACAACAUUGGCUACAGUCAGAGCUAUAAAAGGGAGAAUGAACUAGGAGGAGGUGGUUGUGAAGGGCAGCCCAAUUGAAUCUGAUAGAUGUCAAAUGUUGGAGUCCAGAGCAUCCCUCUGGCUGCCCUGGAUGACUCGAGCCCCUGGCAAAGAGCCCAGGAACCUUAGCAGCAGAUGAAAAACACCUGUGGAUUCUAUUUUAACCCAUGGGAGAGGCUACCGACCUUAUAUGAAGAAUUACAAGCAAAAAGGGUUUGAAUUAUGUAAUAAGGAAAUUGACACAGGGAAGAAAAGUAGAAUUUUGGGAUUUUUUAGAAUGAAAUUCAGGGGUACAAGAUGGAGGAAUCUGGGCGCGCCCUAGCUUCUUCUUCCUUCUUGUUGUCCUCCGUUUCUCGGUGUGAUGGUGACACUUUUCUAUUGGUUUAGGAUAGGGACACACUGUCCAAUGUAGAUCUUAGGUAUUGGUACAGGAAUUGUAAACACAGUGCACGUAAUUUUGGGUAUACAAUGUGGGAGCGGCAUGGGGCGGGAAGGAGACUGCCAUGGCUUCUGUGCUAGCUGGACCUCGGCAGGUCAGAGAGAAACUAUUAUAGAUGAAGAAAAAUAAACAACCUUGAAAACUCAGCUUCACACAUUCCAGACCUCUUCUUCAGUGGCCAGGCUAGGGAAAAAGGACUUUCACACUGUUGGGGUCUUGCCCAGUGACCCCGACAGUCAAACACAGUGAUGAAAAGGAUUUAUGUAUCCAUGUCCAAGAUUCAUGGUCCUCUAAUUUCUCCUUGUCCACAGGUAAGACAUCCAUGGGCAACUGUGCUGCCAUUGACACUUCAGGCUAUUAAAGAGCAAGAAUAUUUCUGUAGUUCAUGAAUAGGAAUCCAGAGCUGUUGAAGUAGCUCCAGUAGGAAAGAGUAGUACUCCAAAUAUCCUUAGUUUGCUAAUAUCUGUGAGCAUAAAUUACUUGGGCACUAAACCCAUAUUUUCCACUAGAAUAAUGUGUCAAAAUAUAACAGCUCCCAGGAAUACUUCUUCAGGAAUACCCUGAUUCUAUAUUGAGUCUAUUAACUACGUGGAGAGAUUGAAGUUUAGGCAACUCUGUUUCAAAAUGUUCUGUUAAUUUUUAAGUAAAUCUCUCUACAUUGUGCCGAGAACUUAAGCACUCAACUGUAAAAAAGUGCUAAGACUUUAGCUGCUUACAUCUAAAUUAAGUUGCUUCUAAACUACUGAAACCUAUUUUAAUCAAAGGCUGGUCAAGAUAAGAAGUAGAGCAGUGACUUUUGUUCUUACAAAAUUAAAGCCUGCUUCAAAGUCAGUUCUAGUUCAUAAGAAAGAGAAGAAUAGGAUAACAACCCACUACUCCACUACUGCUGGGAAAUAUGUUAGUGUUCUUCAUUAUUAUCAAUAAAGUCCAGGGGCAGCUGUGACUGUCCCUUUCAAGCCAACUUGGAACCAUACAGAGAAGUUAACUAUAGGACAAAGUUAGAACAGUACAGAACAGGACAGGAACCUGAUGAGACCUAAUUAUUCCUUUACAGUUUUUUAUUGCAAUGUUCAAAUACACACUGCAUUUCAGACUCAAGUGGUCUAUGGCAGUUUCCUUUUCCCAGGGUUUCUUCCUAGUUUUGCUCACAGGAAAGCAAUAGCCAGAGAAUUAGGAUUACUCAUCAAGGCAUGACUAAGGCAUGGUGUGUCCCAAGAGAAAGGAUGAUCUCAUGUUUGUGGCAACAGAACAGUACCCAAAGGAAUGCAAUUCUGUCCCGGAUUUGCUCAUGGAGGAAAAGCUCCACAUAAAUGGGUCCAUUUUAGAGUAGGUGCCAGAUAGUGUGGAGUAGAUCAACAUGCACUAUCAGGCUAAAAUAGACUAAAGACAGUUCAACAAGCCGCAAACACACAUGGUUAUGUCAGCCUUUUUACUUCUGGCAACCACUGCCUAAGCUACCCCAGUCUUCCUAGUCACACUGCUGUGUUUAGCAGCAUGUCUUGGACUAUACGCAUCUUCCGUACUUUCAGCAUAAAUCAGAUCUUACAGAUCUCUCUGUAAGGAGACUUACAGUCAACACUGCUCUCUUUGAAUAGACCAUACCUGAUUUCAAGUGAAGCUGCAUCAAGACACAUGUAAUAAACAAGCUUGGCAGCUGAUGGACUCUACAAGCUAGAAUGAAACACCAAGUUUAAGAGGUUUCAUUCUUGUCACUGAGAUCUGCUUAAAGAACUUAGGACACUAUGCCAUGUCCACAAAUCCGUCUACAUUAUCUGUGAGAUAAGGUGGGUGUUAGCUGCAGGGAUCAAGCAGCUGCGUCCCGAUGUGGUGCAUUGCUGGGCUGCCCAGCUCAUAAGUCUGGGAUAUAAAGUGUUCCACAGUGAAUUAAAAGCAGAAAGGGCUUCAUACAUCUUAAAUUGUAACUGGCCUUCAGUUAAAGGAGAUAAUUAACUGGGUGUUCAAUAACUAAGAUCUCACAGUAUUUAGUUCUGGAAACAUUGAUGAGUCAAAUCAGGCAAUGUUUGUAAAGGUUAUGAAAUGAGUAGUUCUGAGUGUUUUAUAAAGCAGUGACUUCAAAAAAGUGAUUCCUUUUGCUUGUCUCUGAUUUAGAAAGAUCACAGGCCUUUGUGAAACUUUCUGGUUUGUGUACAUCCAGAAACUGCACACUAAUAAACACUUUGAUACUUUCUGUCCCAGUUUGAGUAAAACUGUUUGCAAAAAGCAAUGGCUAGGUGGGGAGGGCAAUGUUGGGUUUUUUUCAAUAACUUACUCUAUUUUGGUAAAUGUUACACAUUUAGUGCUUUUCCUCUUGCUAAGUUCUUUGGUCAAAGUAAUUUGUAAUUAUCAUGAUGCACUGAGUAGUUCUUCCAAACAAACAAAUGUAACAUUUAGCUACUUACCAUGGAUACAAAACUGUAAAAAUUUAGUUUUUGCAGCACCUUAAUUUUUAUUGCUUUAGGACUAAUUGUGCAUACACUGUUUGUGAGAGAAAGAUUAUUUAUUACCCUGAUAUAGUACCUUCUAAACCAAAAGACAAAUAAAACUUUUAGUCAUCACCAUUAAUACUAUUUCCUUUCACAAUUCCAUAUAUUUUUACUUUAAGACCUAAGGGAAAAAAUAUUUAUUGGUGCCCAUUUUUGGAACUAAAUCAGAAUAUUCAUAUUAUAAAUCUUUCUCAAAGACUAACCUAUAGAACAAAUUGGUUUGUAUAAUUGUCUCUCUAUCCACUUGAUCCUUUCCAAAAUGUCUUUUAUUUCAAUGCCCUACAUAGUUUCUUUCUUUGUGGAGUACAGAGUCCCAGUAGUACAGAGUUCCAUUUGAAGCAUUCAUGCAGUUGCAAUUAUUUUGUUUUCCAUCUUCCAGCAUAAGAAGUGUUCAUACACUGACAAUAAUUCUUGCAGAAAAUAAAAGCAGCCCUAGGUAAAGAUUAAUUAUUUCAUUCUCUCUCCCUGUGGGUGCUGCACAUGUGUAUGACUGUCACAUUCUAGUAUAGAAGAAAGAAAUUAAUCAGUGUUUAAAUUGCAGAUAUUCCCUAUGUAAUAACCUGAUUUACUCAGUCUAAAAAGCAAGGAUUUUUCAUAUCUAUCCAACCAAUCUGAUGAUUUAAACAAAUCUCAUAAAUACAGAUAGUUCGGUUUUUCUGUGUUAUCUUGCUUUGUGUUCUACCUUGCAUUAAAAAAAUUAUCACUUUUGUUGCAUAUUUCUAUAACUGGAAUAUAAUUAUGUUAUAAAAUCAUUCAUUUAUUAGAAAAAUGAGGCUAGGAAAAAUGGGGGAUUUGCCUGUUCUUUUAAAUUUAUGUCCAACUGAAGACAUUAUUUCCAUCCUCAGUAAGCACUGAGGAUUGCAGUUCGUAAGAAGUGUUUUUAAGCGUUCCUUUACAGGAAAUACUGAAAAAUUAUAUUUAAUUCAUCCAGUUAAAAUGUCAUAACCAUACAAUGGUCAUGCAUUGUUUUCUAUUGAACUUGGCAGAUUUGUACUGUGAAAUAGUUUUUUCAUGCUUUGGCAGGAAAAGGCCAAGCAAUUAUUGCAAUUUUGAAGAAUCUGUGAUCAUAGAACAGUUAUUUUCUUCUUAAACAAAAUGUCACCUUACAGAAAAGCAUAUCUUGAAACUGUUUCACUGAUUGUGUCAUUGUCUGACUUAGCCCCGCUUGACUAACUAGCAUGUUUAGAGGAUGAAAAUCAUAAGAUGCAAGCAUCAAGAUGCCCUCACUACCUUUGGACUGGCAUUCAAUUUGUUUGCAGACAUAGGGAGGAACCAAUGACUUAAAUAUUUUCAGGCCAUCAUUUUUAUUUUGUCAUUUUUAUUUAACUGCUCCAUUUUUAUAGCAAAAACAAAGGUAAUUUUGUUGUUACCAAACAGGGCAUGUGACAUGAAUUACUUUGCAUCUCAA
RNAcentral lists this long non-coding RNA (4826 nucleotides) under Taeniopygia guttata (zebra finch). RNAcentral's name for it is "lncRNA (ENSTGUG00000021026.1)". The record is from RNAcentral. Lineage: Eukaryota; Metazoa; Chordata; Aves; Passeriformes; Estrildidae.